CUUCCGGCUCUGGCGGCCGUUUCCAUGGGGACCAAGAUGGCGGCGGCGGGUUUGGGAUGUCGGGAGAGGCCCUGCUGAGCCCCCCCAGCGCCAUGAUCCGUUGGGAAUGCUGGGGCUGAGUGCUCCAAGCCCCAGGAAGGAGGAUGCUCCAGCCCAGCAACUACAGCCUGGUGCUGUUCCUGCAGUUCCUGCUGCUUUCCUACGACCUCUUUGUGAAUUCCUUCUCGGAGCUGCUGCGCACGGCUCCGGCCGUGCAGCUCGUCCUCUUCAUCAUCCAGGACAUCGCCAUCGUCUUCAACGUCAUCAUCGUCUUCCUCAUGUUCUUCAACACCUACGUUUUCCAGGCGGGCUUGGUCAACCUCCUCUUCCAUAAAUUCAAGGGAACCAUCCUGCUCUCCGCAGCCUACCUGGCGCUCAGCAUCUCCUUCCACGUCUGGAUUAUGAACCUGCGCUGGCGUGACUCCAGCCGCUUCAUCUGGACUGAAGGCCUUCAGACCCUGUUCGUUUUCCAGAGGCUGGCGGCCGUGCUUUACUGCUACUUCUACAAGCGGACAGCUGUGCACCUGGGAGACCCCCUCUUCUACCAGGAUUCACUCUGGCUCCGCAAGGAAUUUGCCCACUUCCGUGGCUGAUGGAUCCCCGGGAGUCUCCUUGCACUCCACCGGCUCUGUCGGGGCCGCCACCAUCGCUCCUCGGCUCCGCUGCAGGUCCUGCUCUUCCUCAACGGCUGGUACUGCGCCACAUAUUUUCUCCUGGAAGCGUUCGUGUUCGUGUACAAAGUGCUGCUCCUGCCCUAUCCCGUCUCCAACUUGGUGCUGGAUGUGGUUCUGCUCCUCCUGUACCUCGGCAUUGAGGCCACACGCAUCUUCUUCGCGCGGAUCCCUACUGAGGACACGGCCCAGGGACACAG
RNA transcript from Onychostruthus taczanowskii (white-rumped snowfinch), 910 nucleotides. It is a transcript of the gene named transmembrane protein 138, with no coding region annotated. The transcript is spliced from 8 exons. The record is from RefSeq and is a predicted model, not a curated record. Lineage: Eukaryota; Metazoa; Chordata; Aves; Passeriformes; Passeridae.